This 78-nucleotide transfer RNA is filed under the name Candidatus Woesearchaeota archaeon. Its description in RNAcentral is "tRNA-Lys". It matches the Rfam family "tRNA". Rfam says of the family: Transfer RNA (tRNA) molecules are approximately 80 nucleotides in length. The record is from RNAcentral. Lineage: Archaea; Nanobdellati; Candidatus Woesearchaeota.
GCGCCCGUAGCUCAAUUUAGAAGAGCAGCCGCCUUUUAAGCGAGCUGGUUGCGAGUUCGAGCCUCGCCGGGUGCACCA